This 246-nucleotide long non-coding RNA is filed under the name Elaeis guineensis (African oil palm). Its description in RNAcentral is "long non-coding RNA (EGUI_LNC064657)". Lineage: Eukaryota; Viridiplantae; Streptophyta; Magnoliopsida; Arecales; Arecaceae. The record is from RNAcentral.
ACCCGGACUCCUACGGGAGCCGGACUUCGUCUCCAACUUCAACUGCAGGUGGACUUCAUCCGGACUCCUACGGGAGCUAGACUUUAUCCCCAACUUCAACUGCAUGUGGACUUCAUCCGGACUCCUACGUGAUCCGGGCUUUGUCCCCAACUUCAACAGCAUGUGGACUUCAUCCGGACUCCUACGGGAGUCGGACUUCAUCCUGAACUCCUAUUGCAGGUGGACCUCACCCCGGACUCCUACAAG